GAUGAACGCUGGCGGCGUGCUUAACACAUGCAAGUCGAACGAAGCUGCUAAAAGGAAGUUUUCGGACGGAAUUUUAGUAGACUUAGUGGCGGACGGGUGAGUAACGCGUGGAUAACCUGCCUUAUACAGGGGGAUAACGGAGAGAAAUUUCCGCUAAGACCGCAUAAGACCACAGCAUCGCAUGGUGCAGGGGUAAAAUAUUUAUAGGUAUAAGAUGGAUCCGCGUCCGAUUAGCUUGUUGGUGAGGUAGAGGCUCACCAAGGCGACGAUCGGUAGCCGGCCUGAGAGGGUGAACGGCCACAUUGGGACUGAGACACGGCCCAAACUCCUACGGGAGGCAGCAGUGGGGAAUAUUGGACAAUGGGGGAAACCCCUGAUCCAGCGACGCCGCGUGAGUAAGAAGUAUUUCGGUAAUGUAAAGCUCUAUC
Molecule: ribosomal RNA, 428 nt
Filed under: Lachnospiraceae bacterium oral taxon 107
Lineage: Bacteria; Bacillati; Bacillota; Clostridia; Lachnospirales; Lachnospiraceae
Description: bacterial SSU rRNA
Rfam family: Bacterial small subunit ribosomal RNA
Source: RNAcentral